AAAUUGAAGAGUUUGAUCAUGGCUCAGAUUGAACGCUGGCGGCAGGCCUAACACAUGCAAGUCGAGGGGAAG
RNAcentral lists this ribosomal RNA (72 nucleotides) under Vibrio parahaemolyticus. RNAcentral describes it as "partial 16S ribosomal RNA". It matches the Rfam family "Bacterial small subunit ribosomal RNA", at positions 1 to 72 of the family's 1533-position model. Lineage: Bacteria; Pseudomonadati; Pseudomonadota; Gammaproteobacteria; Vibrionales; Vibrionaceae. The record is from RNAcentral.